CUCGUACUCCUUUCGUCCGGAAUUACUUGUCAUCAAAAUGGAUGAAAAUAAAUGUAUCUAAAAUUAAAAUACAUCUAGAUACAUUCAUUCCAAUGACAAGUAUUUCCGGACGGACGGAGUAUAAA
This is a non-coding RNA of Triticum aestivum (bread wheat), 125 nucleotides long. The record is from Rfam. Lineage: Eukaryota; Viridiplantae; Streptophyta; Magnoliopsida; Poales; Poaceae.